This is a long non-coding RNA of Misgurnus anguillicaudatus (oriental weatherfish), 376 nucleotides long. RefSeq lists it as uncharacterized. Lineage: Eukaryota; Metazoa; Chordata; Actinopteri; Cypriniformes; Cobitidae. The record is from RefSeq and is a predicted model, not a curated record.
UUUACUGAGCUGAUGUCAGAUCAGAUUCAGUUACAAUAAUAUAUUUUAUUAUUAAUUACAGGUCUCACAUUCAUUCAUAGAGUUGUGAUCUGUUGUGUUGCUGUUGGAUGUCUGAUUAUUGUAGCAUCAGUUCUGAUCUUUUGGAUCGACAGGAAACACACAAACACACAGCAACAGGUUCAGACCAGUGAACAGGAAAUCACGUACGCAGAAACAACUUUCCAUCAGAAUCAAAGAUGUAAACCGAGAGCUCCAGUGGAGACCAAUGUGGUGUAUGCCGGAGUCAUGAGACGAUGAUCAUACUUCAAACAAAUACUGUAAAAUAUGAUCAAAAACACAAUGAUUAAAAUAAUAAAGAAUCAAAGUGGUUUUAAAA